Molecule: signal recognition particle RNA, 299 nt
Filed under: Cebus imitator (Panamanian white-faced capuchin)
Lineage: Eukaryota; Metazoa; Chordata; Mammalia; Primates; Cebidae
Description: Metazoan signal recognition particle RNA (ENSCCAG00000007390.1)
Rfam family: Metazoan signal recognition particle RNA
About the family: The signal recognition particle (SRP) is a universally conserved ribonucleoprotein. It is involved in the co-translational targeting of proteins to membranes. The eukaryotic SRP consists of a 300-nucleotide 7S RNA and six proteins: SRPs 72, 68, 54, 19, 14, and 9.
Source: RNAcentral
GCCGGGUGCGGUGGUGCGUGCCUGUAGUCCUAGCUGCUCAAGAGGCUGAGGUGGGAGGAGUGCUUGAGCCCAGGAGUUCUGGGCUGUAGUGCGCUAUGCCGAUCGGGUGUCCGCACUAAGUUUGGCAUCAAUACAGUGACCUUCCGUGGAGCGGGGGACCACCAGGUUGCAUAAGGAGGGGUGAACCGGCCCAGGACGGAAAUGGAGCAGGUCAAAACUCCCAUGCUGAUCUGUAGUGGGAUCCUGCCUGUGAAUAGCCAUUGCACUCCAGCCUGGGCAACAUAGAGAGAGCCAUCUCU